UUGAACGCUGGCGGCCGGCCUAACACAUGCAAGUCGAGCGGAUGAAGGGAGCUUGCUCCUGGAUUCAGCGGCGGACGGGUGAGUAAUGCCUAGGAAUCUGCCUGGUAGUGGGGGAUAACGUCCGGAAACGGGCGCUAAUACCGCAUACGUCCUGAGGGAGAAAGUGGGGGAUCUUCGGACCUCACGCUAUCAGAUGAGCCUAGGUCGGAUUAGCUAGUUGGUGGGGUAAAGGCCUACCAAGGCGACGAUCCGUAACUGGUCUGAGAGGAUGAUCAGUCACACUGGAACUGAGACACGGUCCAGACUCCUACGGGAGGCAGCAGUGGGGAAUAUUGGACAAUGGGCGAAAGACUGAUCCAGCCAUGCCGCGUGUGUGAAGAAGGUCUUCGGAUUGUAAAGCACUUUAAGUUGGGAGGAAGGGCAGUAAGUUAAUACCUUGCUGUUUUGACGUUACCAACAGAAUAAGCACCGGCUAACUUCGUG
This 483-nucleotide ribosomal RNA is filed under the name uncultured bacterium. RNAcentral's name for it is "partial 16S ribosomal RNA". It matches the Rfam family "Bacterial small subunit ribosomal RNA", at positions 30 to 507 of the family's 1533-position model. The record is from RNAcentral.